CCUGGGACAACGUUAGAUUACCCGCGUUUUCGCAUCCAACUAGAUACAAUAUAACUAUUCACCCCAAUUUAACAACCCUAGAGGUCAAAGGACAAGUAACUAUUGAAUUUUACGUCGAUAGAGAGACCAAUUUUAUCGUCUUCCACAGUAAAAACUUGACAAUAACAGACAGAAUGGUGGUGAAUCGUAAAGGCCACGAGAUGAAGAUCUCAAAAUUGCUGGAAUACCCGGCGCAUCAGCAGCUGUACCUAGAACUCGAGGAGAGUAAAUUCCGGAAAAGAGGGAAUUACACAUUACACUUGAGAUUCAUUUCGAGAUUAACGACCGAACUCGAGGGAUUUUAUCUGAGUUCUUAUAAGACGGCAGAAGGAGAGAA
Diachasma alloeum is the source of this 376-nucleotide long non-coding RNA. RefSeq lists it as uncharacterized. Lineage: Eukaryota; Metazoa; Arthropoda; Insecta; Hymenoptera; Braconidae. The transcript is spliced from 3 exons. The record is from RefSeq and is a predicted model, not a curated record.